GCGGUGGUGGUUCAGUAGUAGAAUUCUCACCUCCUGCGCAGGAGACCCAGGUUCAAGUCCCAGCCAGCGCA
This 71-nucleotide transfer RNA is filed under the name Loxodonta africana (African savanna elephant). It matches the Rfam family "tRNA". From Rfam's summary of the family: Transfer RNA (tRNA) molecules are approximately 80 nucleotides in length. Lineage: Eukaryota; Metazoa; Chordata; Mammalia; Proboscidea; Elephantidae. The record is from Rfam by way of RNAcentral.